GGACGGAGCGGGCCGGGAGGGGCUCCCGCAGAGCAGCCCCCGGUGGCAGGAGGAGAGGAGCCAUGUCCUCGCCGUGCCGCUAUUUAUAGCUGCUCGCUCCGAUGCUCGCCAUUCCUUUGGCACCGGGAAUGUGAACUGUGCAUAAACAACCGCCCUGUCAUGAACUCCCGAGGCCUGGAUUCUGACGCAUGGACGAGAGAUCUUGGUGGAUUAUCGUGUUGGCGUUCUCUGCUGUGGGAGGAAAGUCCACCAGCACCUUUUGCUGUUGGGUCAGCUUCCUAACUGAAACCUUGUGUCAUUUCUUCCCAGCAACGAGCCAUUUGUCAGGAACAGCAGAACAUUUUCCACUGCAAACUCAAACUGAUCCCUUGGCUGAUGCACCCGUGUUUUAAUGGUUCUGUGAAGAGUUAUAGCAACAGUGGUUCCCUCAUUUUUGGUUUAUUUUUCUCCCAUGAUGACAUCAUCAAGCGCCACAGGAAAGAGCAAACAGAUUCCAGCACCUCGGGCGACAGCAGGAGCCAGCAGGUCAAGAACAGGAGUUCAGCCUUCGGGUACGGGCGGCCCCGUUACGGUGCCUGGAAGCAGAGGAAUUUGCAAGGACCUAACCGUUUCAGAAGAGGGUUUGGACAGCAACAAUACAAUAGGAGACAAUUCAGGAAUACUUUGCCUGGUCGCAAGAGAAGAGCAGCUGCUGCCUUCAAUGGAGUGAGCCCUUUAAAUCGCCAGGCAUCAGCUCAGGAGGGCAACAAGAACAGCAAUGCUUUUGCCAAAAGCAGCAGCAGGCAGCAGAAGGACCAGGCACAGCCAUCUCCAGGCCCCAAGAGAUUCAGAGCAGAUGCUGCCAGCACCCAGACCCCAGGGAAAAGGCCUUUCCGGCUAAACAGGGGACCAGCGUUCCAGCAGAAGCGGGCGCAGCAGUGGUUCUCCAAAGCCCGCUUCCAGAGAGGGCAGAUGGAUGCUCAAGGAGAAGGGAAACCGCCAAGGAUGAGAAGGUGGCAAGUGAAACCCAGCCCGGGAGCAAUUCUGACGGUUUCUGUGGUUAAUCCCCAGGCGGGCCAGAGCAGCGGGCCUGGAUCCAAGCGCCCGUUCCUGCGAAGCCAGAGACCCCCAGCACGGGUGACCAAGCCCCAGCCCAAGGGGGUGAUGCUGAGAUUCAACUUCCGUGCCAUGGCCAACCAGACCAGCCUGACGCUGGAUGAGAGGUUCUCUGGUCUGAGGAAUAAGAGGCGCUUUACAGCAGCCAGGAGCGCCGGACGGACGGUCACCAUGCCCUAGGACAGCGUGCUCGCCACAGGGACUGCCCCCAACAGUCCAGGCCCUGGCAGGGGCUCAAUAAAAGUUGCUAGAUUCCCUUUGAGAUAGCUGAU
RNAcentral lists this long non-coding RNA (1367 nucleotides) under Manacus vitellinus (golden-collared manakin). RNAcentral's name for it is "lncRNA (ENSMVIG00005005047.1)". Lineage: Eukaryota; Metazoa; Chordata; Aves; Passeriformes; Pipridae. The record is from RNAcentral.